This is a long non-coding RNA of Cryptomeria japonica (Japanese cedar), 680 nucleotides long. RefSeq lists it as uncharacterized. NCBI's taxonomy places the organism in Eukaryota, Viridiplantae, Streptophyta, Pinopsida, Cupressales, Cupressaceae. The transcript has 3 exons. The record is from RefSeq and is a predicted model, not a curated record.
ACACAAUUCGUUUAUUCAAUGCAUAAUUUUUUGCAUAUUUGUUGAAGGCAAUAUAUGGUCCAUGCCAAGUGAAGUUUAUUGUGUCGAUAAGUCAUCCCUAGGUUUGGACUUUUGAUAUCAUUCAAUCCUGUUGGCAAUGAACUCUACAUUGAAAUUAUUGCUUUGAGGGAAGAGAGAACAGUUCCAACGUUGCUUGUGGUUGAUAAUGCUAUGCUCCUAGCAUGACACUAAGUGGCUUUAACUUGAUUAUGAUAUCUUACGAUGAUGCAAUACUGGUAGGUCAUCGUAAAUGGCAAAGGAUUCUAAGAUCUAAGGUAUUUGGAUGUAUUGACUUACAUGAUGCAACACUGCAAGGUCAUCACGAGCAUUCAAUGUGGCAUUACAUAAGAGAAGAAUCCUUAUGCAUAAUUAUUUUUUUUCAUACCUGCAGAAAUAUCACAUUUAGGGAGGGUAUGCAGGAUUCUAAGAUCUAAGUUAUUUGGAUGUAUUGACUUACAUGAUGCAACACUGCAAGGUCAUCAUGAGCAUUCAAUGUGACAUUACAUAAGAGAAGAAUCCUUAUGCAUAAUUUUUUUUUUUCAUGCCUGCAGAAAUAUCACAUUUAGGGAGGGUAUGGGCAGAGCUUGAAUAAUUUUUAAUGCUAAAAUUAUUUCAAAAUGGUAAAUAAUAAAUUUGAAAAG